Molecule: long non-coding RNA, 1572 nt
Organism: Melanotaenia boesemani (Boeseman's rainbowfish)
Lineage: Eukaryota; Metazoa; Chordata; Actinopteri; Atheriniformes; Melanotaeniidae
Exons: 3
Source: RefSeq, a predicted model, not a curated record
GAAGCAAGAUGAAGUUCACAGCAACUGCAACUGCCAUCUAAUGAAGCUAAUAGGAAGUGGUUGAAGAUCUGUCAAUAAUAAUUUUGAGUCAGCAGAUGAGCAGCUGCAUUCUGGACCAGCUGAAGAUGAUGGACAGAAGAUUGAUCCAAGCAACAGGAAGAUGGAUUACAUGUUCAAAGACAUUUGCUGGAAGUGUGACUGUGUUUCACACAAGACUGUGAAAUGCAAAGUCAAACGCAUCUCAGGAGAUCCUGCUGAGGCGAAGAGGAAACAAUCCCAUGUGCCAUCUUCAUUUUAAAUACCACCUAUUCCCUCCAUGACUCUGUUCUCUUUUGUCUCUGCCUAGUCCCAGUUAUCUCCAUAUGUCCUCCUUUCUCUCCUCAUUUUUUUCCCUUUCACACCCACACAUUUGCUUGCAAAGAUUUCCCUGUUUACUUUUUAAUGGGAACUGUGGUGGCAUCCAGAGAACCACAGAGCUUGAUUCAAUAUUUUAUUUUUUUUUUCUCUUCAGGGACACUAUUUCCAGAAUACAUUGUCACAGUUUUUGUGUUGGAAUAUGGACAAGUCAAACUGUGAAAUACUGAGAGUGCUUGACAAUUUUUCUUAGCAUAUGUCAUUGUGUUCAUGUUUGUGAAGGUGUGAUUGUGCUGGUAUGCUUGCAUAUGUGUGUGCGUGCUGUUGAUGAGCUUCCUAGCUGAUGGCUGGCUGUCAGUGAUAACACUGUUAUGUAUUAUGCUAAUUAACACUGGAAUUGAAAACCUCAAUUUAAAACUGCAAAUUUUUACUUAAAUUAUUGUCAUUCAUUAAGCCACAUAUACUCAUCCAGAUGCUCAGGCUGAAUAUACAUACUUAGGAUGUCUGUUUGGAGUCUAACACUAAAUCAGCAUCGUGAGAUGGUUUAAUGCACAAUUUUUUAGGCGUAAUAGUUCCCUUUAAGUAGAAUAUCCCAGUAAGCAAUUGGCAUGAAAUGUGACCCACGCUUUUAAGCACUUUGACUUAUCAUCUUUUACCGUGAGCAUCAUGCCAGUGCCAGCAUAAGGCUAAUAGGGGUGCUUUCAUGGCAUUGAAUUCAACAUAGGGAUGUUUCUUUAAAAAAAUAAAGAGAAAACACUGUAUUUUAUAACAAAUACUGGCCAUUCUGACCUUUUCCUCUCAACUUAGCCACAUUGUUAUAUUUAUAGACUUCAUAAAAGAGAGUGUUCCUCAUUUAUCUGAUUAAGUAAAUACUGCAGAGUGUGUCAUUGUGUUCUUCUCACCAGUUGACCUUUGCAGUCUCUGAUUGCACAUUUUCACAAACACAAAACAUGGGACCGGAAGAAAUAUUCUGGCAAAAAGAAAAAUGGCUGCAGGAUUAUUUUUGUUUCAUUCAGAUUUAUAUGUUUAAGCUAUGACACCAGUCCCUCCACGGAAAGGUCAUGUUUGUUACUGCUAUGAGGCGCCUGUUUGUUAAAUAAAUAAACUGUUAAUAAAAAAACAACCAUGAAUCUUGAGAAGGGUAAACAUUUUAAUAGCAUGUUAAAAAGGAAAUGUGAAUUUAUCUUUUCUUCUAAGUGUGUUAUGUUUUCCUGCUUG